UACGUAGGGUGCGAGCGUUAAUCGGAAUUACUGGGCGUAAAGCGUGCGCAGGCGGUUUUGUAAGCCAGAUGUGAAAGCCCCGGGCUUAACCUGGGAAUGGCAUUUGGGACUGCAAGGCUUGAGUGCGGCAGAGGAGACUGGAAUUCCUGGUGUAGCAGUGAAAUGCGUAGAUAUCCGGAGGAACACCAGUGGCGAAAGCGGCCACCUGGACUGCACCUGACGCUAACACGCGAAAGCUAGGGGAGCGAACGGG
This 253-nucleotide ribosomal RNA is filed under the name uncultured bacterium. RNAcentral's name for it is "partial 16S ribosomal RNA". It matches the Rfam family "Bacterial small subunit ribosomal RNA", at positions 524 to 776 of the family's 1533-position model. The record is from RNAcentral.